RNAcentral lists this ribosomal RNA (432 nucleotides) under uncultured bacterium. RNAcentral describes it as "bacterial SSU rRNA". It matches the Rfam family "Bacterial small subunit ribosomal RNA", at positions 340 to 784 of the family's 1533-position model. The record is from RNAcentral.
UACGGGAGGCAGCAGUGGGGAAUAUUGGACAAUGGGCGCAAGCCUGAUCCAGCAAUGCCGCGUGAGUGAUGAAGGCCUUAGGGUUGUAAAGCUCUUUUACCCGGGAUGAUAAUGACAGUACCGGGAGAAUAAGCUCCGGCUAACUCCGUGCCAGCAGCCGCGGUAAUACGGAGGGAGCUAGCGUUGUUCGGAAUUACUGGGCGUAAAGCGCACGUAGGCGGCUUUGUAAGUCAGAGGUGAAAGCCCUGGAGCUCAACUCCAGAACUGCCUUUUGAGACUGCAUCGCUUGAAUCCAGGAGAGGUGAGUGGAAUUCCGAGUGUAGAGGUGAAAUUCGUAGAUAUUCGGAAGAACACCAGUGGCGAAGGCGGCUCACUGGACUGGUAUUGACGCUGAGGUGCGAAAGCGUGGGGAGCGAAACAGGGAUUAGGAUA